ACGAACGCUGGCGGCGUGCUUCACACAUGCAAGUCGAACGGAAAGGCCCUGCUUUUGUGGGGUGCUCGAGUGGCGAACGGGUGAGUAACACGUGAGUAACCUGCCCUUGACUUUGGGAUAACUUCAGGAAACUGGGGCUAAUACCGGAUAGGAGCUCCUGCUGCAUGGUGGGGGUUGGAAAGUUUCGGCGGUUGGGGAUGGACUCACGGCUUAUCAGCUUGUUGGUGGGGUAGUGGCUUACCAAGGCUUUGACGGGUAGCCGGCCUGAGAGGGUGACCGGCCACAUUGGGACUGAGAUACGGCCCAGACUCCUACGGGAGGCAGCAGUGGGGAAUAUUGCACAAUGGGCGGAAGCCUGAUGCAGCAACGCCGCGUGCGGGAUGACGGCCUUCGGGUUGUAAACCGCUUUCGCCUGUGACGAAGCGUGAGUGACGGUAAUGGGUAAAGAAGCACCGGCUAACUACGUG
RNAcentral lists this ribosomal RNA (467 nucleotides) under uncultured bacterium. RNAcentral's name for it is "partial 16S ribosomal RNA". It matches the Rfam family "Bacterial small subunit ribosomal RNA", at positions 29 to 507 of the family's 1533-position model. The record is from RNAcentral.